Molecule: ribosomal RNA, 102 nt
Filed under: Hucho hucho (huchen)
Lineage: Eukaryota; Metazoa; Chordata; Actinopteri; Salmoniformes; Salmonidae
Source: RNAcentral
GCCAGUAGCAUACCACCCUGCAUCCCACUGCUGGCUUGCCUCUGAAGCUAAGCAGAGUUGGUCCUGGUCAGUCACUAGAUGGGAGACCAGAUGCUGCUGGAA